UCAACCCACAUCAUAACAAGGUUGACCUCGGAUCAGGUAGGGAUACCCGCUGAACUUAAG
This 60-nucleotide ribosomal RNA is filed under the name Ascospirella lutea. RNAcentral's name for it is "Talaromyces luteus partial 28S ribosomal RNA". The record is from RNAcentral. Lineage: Eukaryota; Fungi; Ascomycota; Eurotiomycetes; Eurotiales; Trichocomaceae.